This 608-nucleotide ribosomal RNA is filed under the name Neochauliodes digitiformis. RNAcentral describes it as "12S ribosomal RNA". Lineage: Eukaryota; Metazoa; Arthropoda; Insecta; Megaloptera; Corydalidae. The record is from RNAcentral.
GGUUAUACAAAAUAUACAAAUAAAUUUUUUUAUUUUGUAGUUAGAUGAAACUUAAUUGUUAAAUUAAAUGUUUAUAAAUAAGGUGAAAUUUUUUAUAAAAAUAAAAUUUUUAGAUAAGUUAAUUGAGGCUAUUAGAUUUAAAUAAUAAACUAGGAUUAGAUACCCUAUUAUUUUAAAAUUAAAAAUUUAUGAUUAGGUAGUAAUAGUUAUGAUCUUGAAACUUAAAAAAUUUGGCGGUAUUUUAAUCUAAUUAGAGGAAUCUGUUCCAUAAUUGAUAAUCCACGAUAAAUUUUACAUAAUUUAAUUUAGUUUGUAUAUCGUCGUUAUAAGAAAAUUUUAUAAGGAUAUUAAUUUUCUAAAUUUUAAAUUUGAAUUUAUUUCAGAUCAAGGUGCAGCUUAUAAUUAUGAGGAAAUGGAUUACAAUAAAUUUAUUUAUACGAAUAGUAAAAUGAAUAUUUUAUUUGAAGGUGGAUUUAAUAGUAAAUUAAAUUAUAUGAUUUGAUUGAUUUUAGCUCUAAAAUAUGCACAUAUCGCCCGUCGCUCUCUUUUUUAAAAAGAGAUAAGUCGUAACAAAGUAGGUGUACUGGAAAGUGUAUCUAGAAUGAAUA